CGUACAGCUCUGUAACACGUGGCUAACCUGCCCUUGGGAUGGGGGCACCCCCGGGAAACUGGGGCUAAUCCCCGAUAGGUGAAGAACACUGGAAUGUGUCUUCGCCCAAAAGCCGUCGGAGCAUCUUCCGGCGGUGCCUAAGGAUGGGGCCGCGACCGAUCAGGUUGUUGGUGAGGUAAUGGCCCACCAAGCCUAUAACCGGUGCGGGCCGUGGGAGCGGGAGCCCGGAGAUGGGCACUGAGACAAGGGCCCAGGUCCUACGGGGCGCAGCAGUCGCGAAAACUUUGCAAUAAGCGAAAGCUUGACAGGGCUAUCCCGAGUGCCAUCCGCUGAGGAAGGCUUUUACCCAGUCUAGAACGCUGGGGGAAUAAGGAGAGGGCAAGUCUGGUGUCAGCCGCCGCGGUAAUACCAGCUCUCCGAGUGGUGUGGAUGUUUAUUGGGCCUAAAGCAUCCGUAGCUGGCUAGGUUAGUCCCCUGUUAAAUCCACCGAAUUAAUCGUUGGAUUGCGGGGGAUACUGCUUGGCUAGGGGACGAGAGAGGCAGACGGUAUUUUCGGGGUAGGGGUGAAAUCCUAUAAUCCCGGGAAGACCACCAGUGGCGAAGGCUGUCUGCUAGAACGCGCCCGACGGUGAGGGAUGAAAGCUGGGGGAGCGAACC
RNAcentral lists this ribosomal RNA (657 nucleotides) under uncultured archaeon. Its description in RNAcentral is "bacterial SSU rRNA". It matches the Rfam family "Archaeal small subunit ribosomal RNA", at positions 82 to 725 of the family's 1478-position model. The record is from RNAcentral.